Bdellovibrionales bacterium is the source of this 237-nucleotide non-coding RNA. The record is from Rfam. NCBI's taxonomy places the organism in Bacteria, Pseudomonadati, Bdellovibrionota, Bdellovibrionia, Bdellovibrionales.
CAAGUCCGGCCAUGGUAGCUCGUAAUGGAGGCCAUGUAUCGAGUCUUGGCCAGUUUAGGUAACGAAGAUUGGUAAGCGUAGACAGAGAGAUCCAUAGGCCAUUGGGUGGGGACAAUCACCCUUAAGCAAUACAGCUUCGAAAGAUAGGUCUGAGUCGAAGGGGCCGAGACUGUAUGAUGUGUGCGAAGGCAAUAGUAGGUUGAGCAAUUAACUUACCCCUUCCGGGGUCCGAGAGCA